This 253-nucleotide ribosomal RNA is filed under the name uncultured bacterium. RNAcentral's name for it is "partial 16S ribosomal RNA". It matches the Rfam family "Bacterial small subunit ribosomal RNA", at positions 524 to 776 of the family's 1533-position model. The record is from RNAcentral.
UACAGAGGUCCCGAGCGUUGUUCGGAUUCACUGGGCGUAAAGGGUGCGUAGGUGGCCGGGUAAGUUUGAUGUGAAAUCUCCGGGCUUAACCCGGAAACGGCAUUGAAUACUAUCCGGCUGGAGGGUUGGAGGGGGGACUGGAAUUCUCGGUGGAGCAGCGAAAUGCGUAGAUAUCGAGAGGAACACCAGUGGCGAAGGCGAGUCCCUGGACAACACUUGACACUGAGGCACGAAAGCUAGGGGAGCAAACAGG